Hipposideros armiger (great roundleaf bat) is the source of this 1757-nucleotide long non-coding RNA. RefSeq lists it as uncharacterized. The record is from RefSeq and is a predicted model, not a curated record. The transcript has 4 exons. Lineage: Eukaryota; Metazoa; Chordata; Mammalia; Chiroptera; Hipposideridae.
AAAAACAUAGCUUCCUAUUACAGAAAAAAAUCAGAAGGGCUAUGGUUCAAAUAAAAUAUUAAGAAAUGAUCAGCUUUCUUGAGGAUCCUAAAGCCAAAACUGUGUUACUAAAGAAUGCCCCUCCCCCACCCAGGCUUUCUCUUCCAGUUAAUCACGUGGCUGACAAGUAGCUAGCCUGAAACUGUUUCUCUCCUAGGUGACAGCCUGAAGUGCCUAGAACUUGGUUUAAUGAUUAUCUGACUUUUUAAAUUCUCUUUCUCUUUUGUAUAUGUGUGGUCUUACCACUUACGGGUGAACAUAUAACAAGUUUAUUUCAUUUCACACAAGAUAACCAAAGGGGAAGUCUCCGAGAAGCAACAAUAAUGAAAGAUCUGACAGAAGCAAGAAACUCUGGUUGCUACUGGAAAGCCACAGCAUGAAGCCAAAUGACACGUGGAGAAAUGCAGGGUGAGGAGAAUUGUAAAGAAAGAGAAUUGGAGGCACUCAACUGCCGGACUUCUCACUGAGCUACAGGGUAUCAAUACAGAAAACCUGCACAAGGUAGUCUGAUGUUCUUGUUGGUCCAGAUGCUCGUACCAGCUCCAACCAUGCACAGGCCUCAGGCAUACAAAUAGAUACAGGAAUGUAAAAUUGCUCAACGACAGCGUCUUUCAAAUUUACCCCAUGAGUUCAAGUGUGAGAAAAAGAAAACCGGCACGUACCAUCGACUUAUCAAGGCUGACCAGCAGAACGUUCCGAUACUCUUCACCAUUUUUACCUUCAACCUCACAAUCAGGUGAUGCUACCGGCAACAGAACAAGGAUCAGGGGAGGAAUUCCAAAGAUAUACCUAAAAGAAACUAAAGGCAACAGUCAGUAAGAAUGAGCUAAAUGUUAAGUCCCAUUAUCUAAGCUGAUUUCAGGGGGCCUGUCCACUGAUGUCUAAUAAUUAAUUGUCCACACGCCUCUCGGUUUUUGGACAGAGUGGGAAGGACCCUAAAAUUCAACGUUAUGUAACAACCAUAGUAGGUCGUCAGUAUUUUAGUGUUUAGCUUUCCUUCAUUUGUUUUUGUUUAGAAAUUACCCUUUGGGGAAGUGCAGAACACACGUAUGAUGACGAUAGAUCCUUUUUGCUUCUGAAAACACUCUAGGGCAUAAAUACUGUGUAUCCAAUUUUGACCUAUAGUGAACACCUGCAGGUAAACUAAGUACAGGUAAAACAGUUAUGGUGUUUUUGAAAUUUUAUGAUCUCUGGCAUGUGAUUAUAUAACUUGUACAGUUGUAAAACUCGUGAAGGUUGUAAAACUUGACAGUCAUCCAAGUGUCCAGCUGCUUCCUAGAUGCAGCAUUCCUGGUUUCUCUCCAGGCUUACCCUUCGCAGGACUGUGACUGAGGUGACAUUUAAAUUUGAGACUCCUUAUCUUUGCAGUAUCUUCUAAGUGCCCCAAACCCAUAUUCUCUUCAAACACUGAUUGGUCUACCUUCUUAUCCUGUUAGAACACUUGAUAAAAAAGUUCACGCCCUGUUAAUUAGUGAUUUCUAUCUGUUUUUGAUAAAGCUUCCACAAUUAUGGGCAACUGUCUACUGGAAAGGAAUGAGAUUAUAAAUGAUAUCAUUUCAGGAAGUAAUACACUGGAUAGAAAAGCAGUGGUUCCCUGAGACAUUAAAAUCUGGUUAUAUAGCGACUUAUUGCUUCAUAAGCUUGCCAGGGCUUCAUGAUUGCAUCUUUCUGUAAAUGUAACUGUACUUGUUAAGUGCAAGGCAUUUCCACACGUGUGC